GAAACCUUUGUCAAGCAAUACCAAGGAGCAAUCAAAGGUCACCUGGGCACCAGGAAUUUUUCCGUGGAGGCUGAAGCUCACAACUCUACAAGAGAAUCCAUGGUGAUCUCUAAAGUCAGUACACAUGGUGAGCUCCACCCAGCUGCUCUUGCAACAUCUCAAUCUUGCUGUGACAUCGCAGGGACUCAACCAAGUCUUCUGGAGUGCCCUUGAAAAUUUUCAAGAGAAAAAUUAUUGACUCAAGAUGAAGAAGAAUUGGAACAAGAAUGCACUUGCUUUCGG
Centrocercus urophasianus (Greater sage-grouse) is the source of this 282-nucleotide long non-coding RNA. RefSeq lists it as uncharacterized. NCBI's taxonomy places the organism in Eukaryota, Metazoa, Chordata, Aves, Galliformes, Phasianidae. The record is from RefSeq and is a predicted model, not a curated record. The transcript is spliced from 3 exons.